UGGGCUAUAGCCAAGUGGUUAAGGCAUCGGACUUUGACUCCGAGACCGCUAGUUCAACUCUAGCUAGCCCAGCCA
RNAcentral lists this transfer RNA (75 nucleotides) under Desulfomicrobium escambiense. RNAcentral describes it as "tRNA-Gln". It matches the Rfam family "tRNA". From Rfam's summary of the family: Transfer RNA (tRNA) molecules are approximately 80 nucleotides in length. Their secondary structure includes four short double-helical elements and three loops (D, anti-codon, and T loops). The record is from RNAcentral. Lineage: Bacteria; Pseudomonadati; Thermodesulfobacteriota; Desulfovibrionia; Desulfovibrionales; Desulfomicrobiaceae. RNAcentral also lists the same sequence under 5 other names.